GACAGAGGGUGCAAACGUUGUUCGGAAUUACUGGGCGUAAAGCGCGUGUAGGCGGCCAUCUAAAGUCGGGCGUGAAAUCCCCACGGCUCAACCGUGGAAGUGCACUCGAAACUGGAUGGCUAGAGCCUGGAGAGGAAGGUGGAAUGCUUGGUGUAGAGGUGAAAUUCGUAGAUAUCAAGCGGAACACCGGUGGCGAAGGCGGCCUUCUGGACAGUGACUGACGCUGAGGCGCGAAAGCGUGGGGAGCGAACGAGG
Molecule: ribosomal RNA, 255 nt
Filed under: uncultured bacterium
Lineage: Bacteria
Description: partial 16S ribosomal RNA
Rfam family: Bacterial small subunit ribosomal RNA
Source: RNAcentral